This 389-nucleotide ribosomal RNA is filed under the name uncultured bacterium. RNAcentral's name for it is "bacterial SSU rRNA". It matches the Rfam family "Bacterial small subunit ribosomal RNA", at positions 29 to 417 of the family's 1533-position model. The record is from RNAcentral.
AUUGAACGCUGGCGGCAUGCCUUACACAUGCAAGUCGAACGGCAGCACGGGUGCUUGCACCUGGUGGCGAGUGGCGAACGGGUGAGUAAUGCAUCGGAACGUGCCCAGUCGUGGGGGAUAACGCAGCGAAAGUUGUGCUAAUACCGCAUACGUCCUGAGGGAGAAAGCAGGGGAUCUUCGGACCUCGCGCGAUUGGAGCGGCCGAUGUCGGAUUAGCUAGUUGGUGGGGUAAAAGCCCACCAAGGCGACGAUCCGUAGCGGGUCUGAGAGGAUGAUCCGCCACACUGGGACUGAGACACGGCCCAGACUCCUACGGGAGGCAGCAGUGGGGAAUUUUGGACAAUGGGGGCAACCCUGAUCCAGCCAUGCCGCGUGAGUGAAGAAGGCCU